GCCCGCCUGUUGCCUCAGGACUAUGGCCCCAUGGUAAACCUUGUAUUUUCAAUUGCCAUGGAGCUCUGUCUCGUCUUUGGGGGGAUUUACUUUAUGCUGUUAGAGACUGAUUUCCAGUUCCAGUUCGGGAGUUUGGAGUGCUAUUUUGUAUGCAGUUCGGGAGUUUGGUGUUCUGCAGUAGCUGUGCCUGUGUCUUUGGAAGGGAAGAUCUACUAAACGGCUUUUAACCCCUUUUAUGCCGGGUGCCGUUACAAUUGGUGGCAAGCGGCGGAAUCGUUCCCACAGCCAGAAGGACAGCUACAGGAGACACCAUUCCAUGGAUUUUACAAUUUGAGGGCACCGCAUGUCCCAGUACAGCGGCCCUGACAGCACCAGGAUGGAACCAGCAGAGGCAUACAGCUACUCUAUGAAAGAGUUUGACAAUAUGAUGGGAUUGCGGCUAAAGUACUACGGACCCAAUCCACCGGAGAAAUCGGUGCAUCUUAUGAGGAACCUAGUGUUCAAGAAUCUGUAAUACCGAGCAGAAAGGGAAAGUCAGCUGGCACGUUGGGAGGAACUCCAGUGGCAGGUACUGCAGUGAAUUGGGAGCCCAGUCUCCAUUCCCCAGCGGCAGUGUGAUAUGCAGGGAAUUGGGAGCCCAGUCUCCAUUCCCCAGUGGCAGUGUGAUAUGCAGGAAAUUGGGAGCCCAGCCUCCAUUCCCCAGCGGCAGACUGAGUCACAGGGGGCAGAGACAGUUGGUCCUGUCCCCCAGCGGCAGAGUGUCCUACAGGGAACAGAGAGGCCAGCCUCCUUUCCCCAGCAACAGGACACUGUAUUGGGAGUGGAGACAGUCGGUCACCCUCCCCUGCGGCUGGAAGUAUGUAUGGGAAAGGAGCUUGUUACCCCCUCUCCCCAGCGGCAGCUUGACAUACCCAGGGGAGACAGUAAGCCUCACAACCGUGCAGAUGGGACUGUGAUCUCUGCACUUACAGCACAGGCGGUAGGGACGGUCGGUCCUGUAACCCAGCAACAGGGCUGUUUAGCCAAAGGGGAAGCAGUCGGUCUCCCCCCACAGCAGCAUGGUGGCUUGUCCAAAGGGGAGACAAUCGGUCUCCCCCUGCAGCAGCAGAGCUGUGUAUCCAAAGGGGAGACAGUCGGUCUCCCCCUCCCGCAGCAGAGCUGUGUAUCUAAAGGGGAGACAGUCGGUCUACCCCUCCAGCAACCAGGCUCCAACCAGACUAAUCCCGUGGUAGUGCUGGCACCAGGGCAGAGUACCGCUGGUCUCUGCCCACUCAGCAACCCACCAAGUCAGCUUACCAGUCCCCCACACAGCCGUAGUGAGGCACCUGGACAUGGACAAGUUUCUCCUCUACCCAGGUGUAGUAACCAGUUAUUGUGGGUGGGCUGUAUUACUGUUUGUGCUUUGUGGGUGGGCUGCUGGACUAACCAGGGCACUGACCGGCAGGAGGUCAGAUAACCUGUUAGUCUGUCUGGAAAAGGGGAGAGAUGUGACGAGACCAAUCUUGCCACAUUGCAUUGGAGGAGCCUGGUUGCCCGCCUGUUGCCUCUGGACUAUGGCCCCAUGGUAAACCUUGUAUUUUCCCCUGCAGAAAGGCUUGUUCGUGCCUUUCUGCCAGGAUGUUCGGUAGAUUCAAUGUACCGAACAAACGCACAAAUGACUGGACCACCUGGGAGCUGGAGUGUGCCAUCAAUUGACCUCCCAGAAGCUGCGGUUAACCACAGCUUAAUUGAUGAAUGCUGGGUGGCCGUUGUUCGUUUGCAGAACACGUGGCGGCGGCCAUUUUAAAGUCCUGAACAGCCAGCGGUGUUAGCCAUGCCAUGGUGCCUAGUCGUGUAACGAAAGACUAUGUGAAAGACUUUGGCUCCAUGGCGAUUGAACUGUAUGUAUGUGAUUUGAGCGCCAUUCGGUAAUAAUGUGCGCUCAGAUCUAAGCUAUCUGGGGAUAGGUAGAAUGUAUAUGUUUUACUCAUUAUUUGCAACAUUGUGUAUUUUUGUGUCUUUUUACUAACAUGUGCUCAAUGGAGUUUUGCCUCUGUCCUUGGAGAUAAUUGGAUUACUUCCCAAUUAUCUCCAGGAUAGAGGGAAGGGAUUGUAAUGUACUGUGGGAGUGUUUUAACCCUGUAUGCCUGUGAUUGGUCAUUUUACCAUUUGUGUCCCAGUCUUCCAUCUGGUUCCCUAGGGGAGUGUCCACCAGGUGAAAGACCUGCAUAAAUACCGGGCAGGUAGCCCUCAAUAAACCAGACCACUGCUUGACCCUCAACACAGAGCUCUGUCUUGUCUUUGGGGGGAUUUACUUUAUGCUGUUAGAGACUGAUUGCCAGGAGUGUAAGCCGCUUGGGUGCUUUUCCUGUUCGUCUGCUAGCAGCUAUUUGUGAGGUUCCAGUUCGGGAGUUUGGAGUGCUAUUUUGUAUGCAGUUCAGGAGUUUGGAGCAUUCCCUUGUAUCCAGUUCGGGAGUUUGG
This is a non-coding RNA of Pelobates cultripes (western spadefoot toad), 2460 nucleotides long. The record is from the annotation of a GenBank genome assembly. NCBI's taxonomy places the organism in Eukaryota, Metazoa, Chordata, Amphibia, Anura, Pelobatidae.